AUUAUUUUUUUCAUGUUGAAGAACACCUUGGGAAUUUUAGUAUGGCCAUACUAAAUUGACAACCCUUCUCUCUGUCUCUGUCUCUGUCUCUGUCUCUGUCUCUGUCUCUCUCUCUCUCUCUCUCUCUCUCUCUCUCUCUCUCUCUCUCUCUCUCUCCCUCUCUCUCUCUUUCUCUCUCUCCAAGUCAUUUGGGUAUGUAGAAGUAUAUGUCUAUUCCUGGCAUUCAAAUUCUAACUUUUUUUCUAUUUUAGAAAGUCAUGUCUUCUUUCUUUCCUUUGAUACUGUUUUCUUCUGUAGACUCUGGUAGUCAGAAAUAGUCAGACACACCUGAAAACUAAAGAGCUUACCAUGGUUAAAAAGCAUGUCUGUGUGGAGAAGAGUUUUAUAUAUAAUUAUAAUUCCCAAAUAACAUAAAUUCAACUUCCAGAAUAAUAUGAAAAAUAUUCAUUGCUUUGUGUUUACAAAGGCAUAUUUUAUUUUUAAUUAUGUGUGUGCGGGAAGGGGCAUGUGCAAACAUGAGUGCAGGUGUCCAGAGCAUCCUUGAGAGGGGAGCAGAUUCCCUGGAGCUGGAGUUAAAGGUCUUUGUGAGUUGCCUGUGUGGAUUCUGGGAACCAAAUUUGGGUCCUCUGUAAGAGCGGGACACACCAUUAACCUCUUAGCUGUCCCUCCAGCCACUCACAUUCCUUUAUUCUAAAAAACGAUUUCCAUAACCUCAAGAGAAUCAUAAUGAUCUCCAAUAAAAAACUGUAUCAUCAUAUUUCCUCACUUCCCACUGGCUCAAUUCACUCAUUCUUUCAGUGGCUGGGUACUAGCUGGACAUCAUGUCAAACAAAACACAAUGCUAUUAGGAUCCCUGCCUUUGUUGAGUAAGGAAGAGAUCUGGUAAAACAGAGAGAUAAACAUUAAAAGAAUGCAAGAUUCAUGGGGAUAAGGACUUUUGUUUUUGUCCAACUACAUACCCUAAGUACUUAAAUGAGUAUCAGGCAUACAACAGACAUGAUAGCUCCCCAAUAUCUGGUGAAUGCUAAAUGGAUAUGAUAGGGACAUUUAGGAGACUCUGAGAUACUAAGGAAAGACCAAUAAACAAAGUAAAUAUUUUUGACGUAUUAAGUUGGCAUGGCUGGAAAAACUGCUGCAGAGCCUUCAGUAUUAAGGGAACAGAGAACUUGAAAGUCGGGGUUAGAAGGAGCAGAGAGUUUGGCUGCAGCAACAAGCAAAGGGUGAGCAUGCUGUCAUCUGAAGUAACCAGAAGUCAUACACCAAAAAGUUUGGAAUUUAGACCAAAUCUAUUGAGUGAUUUUAAGCGUGUAAGAGCUUAAGCAGUAUAAACAUGUAGAUGUGUUUAGGAAAGGAUGACCGAGGCUGAAAUGUGACAAGUGAUAGGGAAUGAGUGUGGCUGAGCAGACCAAGUCAGGAAGCUUCAUAGAAAUCCCAACAGCAUGUAAGUAGCAGUGGUCUAAACAAAGGCAAAUGUAAAGGGACAUAGGGAAUUGGGCAUAUUUCUAAGAUUUCCUUGGCUGUUUGGAAUAGGGAAGGCAGGAAGGGAGUUAAAGAAGACCAAAGAGGCAAAGACUGGACUCAUAUCUCCAGUCUUGGCCAAUGAAGAAUAGAGAGUAUACCUUCAAAGUAAGGAGACACAUUUGGAGGGAAUUUCACUUUUGGAGAUGGGGAGUUGUCAGCUUUUCAAGUUGUUAUAGACUAGAUUUCUACAGUUAUCUCAUUUUUCCUACAAGCCUAGACUAGAUUAUCAGGGAUCCAUCACAACUGGGUAAAACACCCUUGAGUACCUAUUAUAGAAUUUAUAAGCUGAGCUUGCUUACAUGACCAUAAGUUACACUUAGAAAAUGAAGUAGUUUUCUUGGGUUGAGGAAAUAGUUAGGUGAGUAAGAGUGCUUGCUGUUCAAGUAUUAGUGCCUGAGUUCAGAUCUUGAUACCACUCUAAAAGGCCAGGCAGCAUGCACCCCUGUAACCUCAGAAUUAUGCUGGAUGAGCAGAGAUAGGAAGGUUGUUGUGAGUUACUCCUGACUCAGAGGAGUCAUUUCUCUCAUCCUCAUAAAGGACAAAAACACAUCAGCAUGCCCUUCACAUCGUUCCCAGUAGCUUUCUAAGCAAGGGACAAGAACCAAAGGAGCAUCUCAUUUUUAUUGCACCAAACAGGCUUAGGAACUAGAGCAUUUUAGCUAACUCAUGAGUUAAUUUCCAAUAUGAUUGGUAGGGGAAAGUUCUUUCUGGCUAAACAAGUGUUUGGUUUUCAUUGGAGAGUCUCAUGUAAAUGGUGCUCACUGAACUGAUUCAGCGUGGUCCAUUUCAGUUUAUCAUAUUAUCUAAAUUGCAUGUGAAGACUCUCAGUAGGUUUCAGAGUCGCACAUCAGACUUGGCUGUAGGUGCAUCCAAAGCCAGUAUUUUCAAAUUGACUUGUACUUUUGUAGAAGUUGGCCUUUCAAAUGUAUUAUUUGUUGGACUUGGCAUUUCUACAGUGAAUAACUACCCACUCACUUUUCUUUAAAUAUAAACUUCAAUAUGCUGAAUCUUCCUAAUGCAAUCUCUACAUCUCUUGGUUGCUCCUCUGCAGACUAAAUGACACAGCAACAAGUGUGCUGUGCAGAGGCGGUGGGGGCUCUUCCCUUUGUGUUUGGGAAAGAGCACAAAUCACAGGUGUGUCUAGUCACCUGGCUCCUUCACAGACGGGUUCAGAACCCUCUUUAUGUGUGUCUAGCUCAAUGUCCCUUUCAACACCCCACUGUCUGCAAACAACGAAGGAAGGGAAGGUGUAUAGGGAGAAAAAUGAAAUGGCUGUUUAGCACACACAUUCUUACCUCUACCCAGCUUUGAAAUCAUCUCAUAUUGGGAAAAACAGACACUUUUCUCAUAAUCACAGUGCCAAAUGAACAUAACUAACUCAUUUUUGCAGUCUGGGAUUUUCCAUAGACGAAUCCUUUGAGAAAUGGAAUGCACUGUGGUGGCUUAUAUUAUACCAUCUUGUGUCAACUUCUAUUCCAGGGAAACACUGCAUGUCCUUAUAAAAAUAAUUCUGGGCAUAUUUCUUUAUACCUGCAUGCCAAUAUUCAAGAGCAAGGUUUAAACAUUCACAUUUUAGGAGCAUGAAAAUUAAAUAUUUAUUGAUCCAUAUUAAUUUAACUAAUGCAGUACUCUGAAAUCCAGUAUGCUGUUUUCACCCAUUUAACCUAGAGCAAUAUUAGAAGGAAAUCCAACUGGACACUCUUUAGUAGAUUUCCAACAUAAAACAAAGAAAUCAAUGAAAAUGUGGCAACGAACAAGCCCCUCUUGCUUGAGAAGGAGGAGCGAGCGUGGAGCUUGCCAGAAGCGGGUUGUCACUCCACUAGACUAAUUUUAGAGAGAAAAGAAGUCAGCGUGGUGAAAUGAAUUUCCUUUCUGUAGCUUGCCUGAUUGCUGACAUUCCGAAAUCUCAUAAUAUUCUCUGAAUAAAUUAUCCUCAUUUUGUUUAAAAAGAAAUUUAACAUACAUUUAAAUAGCGCCGUUGUGCUGGAGAGGAGCAGUGCUGAUCUGUGCAUUCCACUAAUGGCAUCGGGUGCAGAGCAGCUCUCCUAAUCCUAUGAGAGCUAAUCAUCGGGGAGAAGUCCUCCCAAUGAGAUGCAGCUCCAGUUUCCAAGUUCUGUGUCCAAAAUAUGUGGUGUCCUCAGCAACAGAGACUUACCUCUAAAUUAUGGGAGGCAACCAAGGUCAACUGCAAUAGCCUGUAUUGUUUCAGGUUUCUCUGGGACUCCCUUGAUCAACAACUCAAAAAUAAGGCUUCGGUGAACUUUUCCCAAGCAGAGAUGUUAGUACUAACUUGACAACAAGAGUUAAGACUUCUAAAACUCUACUUUUUCUACAUAAGAAGGCUGGGAAGGGAAGUCCUAGAAAUUGUUCAUCACAUGUGACUAGAAGAGAGAUUUAGCAUGAGAUUUUGCACAGACUACAGGUACUUCUGCACCCAACAAAUUCCCUGAAGUUAAAAGCAUCCACUCAUGUCUCCAAGAGAAUAAGAUCAUCCUCUGCAGGGGAUGAUGGAGUACGGAUCAUCUCCUGUGCAUCCUUUCUGCAGCACUAUGGACAGCCACAGCACAGAAGGAAACCAUGGCACAUUAACUCUAUGAGUAGGAAGAACCCAGGAGACCUAAGUGGGGACAAAAGCUGAGUAAACCCAAGCAUAUUCUACUUGAAGUGUUCAACCACUGAGCUCAGAUCCCCAAAUUAUGCAAUUUCUGGUUUUGUUCUCUCCAUAAUGAAACAGAAUGGGAUGGAGGUAUUCACUCCUCGCUUCCUUCCUCACUAACAGCAGCCCUAUCUCACACAGUUCACCUUUUAGAGUAUAUAAAAUACAGCCCAUAAGAAAGCAAGCCCAUCAUUUUAUUAGCAUAUUUUUAUAGUAGACAAAUUUUAUAGUAGACAGAAUACAAAAUACAAAAGUAAUUAAAAACAUACAAUUUAGAGGCUAGAAAGAUGGCUCAGUGUUAAGAGUCUUGGCUAUUCUUCCGGAGAAACCAGGUUUGAUUAUCAGUGCCCACGUGACAGCUUAAGACCAUCUAUAACUCCAGUUCCAGGGAAUCCAAUACUUUCUUCUGGCCUCUGUGGGCACCAGGCACAUGCAUGGCACACAGACAUACAUUCAGGAAAAAACAUCCGAACAUAUAAAAUAAUAAAAAUAAAUUUAGAAGUUGAAUAUACAAUUUAUUGAAUCUGUUUCUCUCAACUAUCCAAUGGCCCUUUCUUUCUCUUUGAGUUGCUUGGACCAGUUGAAACAAAAGGGAUUUGUUGGCCGGCUUUCUCAAUCAACAAGAUAUGGCAGAAUUUCUCUCACAUGCUUGUUGCCCAAUUCAGUCAUUCAAGAUAUAUCAUAUCUUCUAGAAAAGAAUGGCUCCCUUUAAACAUGCCCCCAGCACAGCUUCAAGCAGAUGUCACCCUUCAAGCCCAUCCUGGCUGAGUCAUCAGGGCAUCUGAAUGACCCUAAGGACUUGGCUGUUCUACUCAGAAUCCCUUGCCCUUUGGUCAUACCCCAACCACAACAUGGAGAGUAGAUGCAUUUGAAGGGUCAAAUUUAAGGACUACCUCAUGCUCUCUCCAUGUGAUAGAGACAUGCAGAAUCAAGUGGGUGAGCCAAAUGACCAGUCCUUUCCCAGGCACAGAACCUGUGGUUUAGGAUUCGUCAUUAGCACUAACCAUACAACUCGUUUUGGACCAUUAGCCUUAUCUAGUUACAAAUGAAGAUUCACAAAGACAUCCUAUAUGUAAGCUAUAAAUGCAACUAGAAUUAAAAUAAAAUUAAUAUGUCUUCCUUAAAUGUCAAUACUUUAAUUUGGGUAUUCUACCAAACACUAAGUCAACUUGGGAAACAGUUUAUCAUUUGUUGAUCAGUGUUCAUAUUCCUUGGUAUGAGAAAAUAAACUGAUGUUUGCUUGA
Molecule: long non-coding RNA, 5421 nt
Organism: Peromyscus californicus insignis
Lineage: Eukaryota; Metazoa; Chordata; Mammalia; Rodentia; Cricetidae
Exons: 5
Source: RefSeq, a predicted model, not a curated record